Molecule: transfer RNA, 75 nt
Filed under: Dactylosporangium vinaceum subsp. matsuzakiense
Lineage: Bacteria; Bacillati; Actinomycetota; Actinomycetes; Micromonosporales; Micromonosporaceae
Description: Dactylosporangium matsuzakiense tRNA
Rfam family: tRNA
About the family: Transfer RNA (tRNA) molecules are approximately 80 nucleotides in length. Their secondary structure includes four short double-helical elements and three loops (D, anti-codon, and T loops).
Source: Rfam by way of RNAcentral
GGCGCGGUGGACGAAUUUGGGAGAGUCACCGGGUUUUCACCCCGGAAAGUGCGGGUUCGAGUCCCGUCCGCGCUU